CCAUCCCGCUUCAAAUUAAGGGACAAGAGGUGCUGGGGAGCUAGUCUCUCUCGCACUCGAGGCAGGGGAGGAAUUAACAGCUCUCUCUGUGAAGAAGCCCUUUUGGAUGACUUUCAGGCAUAACAUCAGGAAGAAGUUAAAGUGAGUGUACAUACUGGAAGGUUCAACCCUGUCAGGAAACAACAUGGUGGGACAUGUUACUUGGGGUUCUCAGAGACCAGGGACUGGGAAGAGGAAGAGGGCCCAAGUAAAACYUACAAGGAACAACCAUCAAAUCACAGAUGGAGAAUGUGAAACAGAAAGAGAGUGGGCGGAUGGAGUGAAGGAUGAAGGCUGGGUAGACGACUGAACAGAGAGAGAGAGAGGCUCUACGCGGCUGUUCAUCCAUUCAUCGCCAUGGGCUCUUGUCCUCGUCUCUCCUCCCCUGCUCCACCCUCCCAUCCCAGGGCCCUUUGAAGCGAGUGCGGCCCCAAAAGGGAGCUCCUGAGUGGGCUGGUGAGGCAUGAAUAAGUCCCUGCUGGUUGCCAGCACCUCUGGAGAUGACGGCAAGAGAAAUCAAUAUGGAGAAGAGAAUGUGGAGAACAGAGUGGGGUUGUCCUGGUUAGCCCACGGCCUAGGGGCCUGGAGACCUCCAGAGGAGGCCCAUCUUGACCUCGCUCAGCCUCAGCCAAGGCUCCUCAGACUGGGCCUGGGUCCCUAACCACACUGGGUGUGUGUAGUUCUGCUGGAAGGGGCCUACCAACAAACACCACAUGAUACACACUCUCCUGAGUUAUUAUUCUUUUUUUUUUAGAAUGCUAAAGGGGAUUUCCCUCUCUCUUUAUUUCUGUUUUCUUAAAAAAAAGAUUGACGUACUCCCCCACCUGCACCCUGUAGCUGUGUGUGAAUGCUGGUGGGGGGGUUCUGGUUUUUGAUCCAGACUUCAGAUCCACUCACUGCUUAUUCCCGGGGAAGCUUUUACAUUUGUCAAAGAGACAGUAACGUCUCAUUUUUACACUUCUAUUUUUCUUUUCUACACUGGCGUGCUUCCUCCACAGCGAUAUACAAACCACAACAACCACGGAAAUCGUUUUUUUUUUUUUUAUCAGGCUCUUUAUUGUUCAAUUCCAAUUGAAUUUUUCAAUUGGCAUGAUCAAAGACCAUAGAACGAAAAACCCAGGCCAGAUCUCCUAUCAAUAUAGUUCAUUCAUUUUGACCAGCUAGAAUAAAAUGGACAUAAAGGAUCCAGGAAAACACAAGGCCGUCAACAGAUGACUGGACACUCCCUGGAACAACACAGAACCAGCAGACAGAGGUGUAAUUUCAGGGGGUCCCAGCUGACUGCCCUUCCUCUAGACAUCACCAUCCCACACCCAGAGGUCAGGGGUUGGGGGUGGAGCACAGACACACACACAGGCUGUUUGUGCUGACCUGUGUCURUGUGCAGACUGAGGGGAUCACUGCCCUGGGAGAUAAGGAUCGACAUGUGAGAGUGAAAGAACGAAGGUCGCUUGUUUGGACCAACCGGAUCACAUGAGACCUUGUGGAGCGCUCCCAUUGGUUCACCUAAGAAAAAAAGAGGGGGGGGGGAGUCCUUUGACUUCAAGCUUGCUAUAAAGAUUCAUAGAAUGUGGAGUAAGAUGGACAUGCAAAACUGGACAAAAUAACAAYACAGAAAUUGCUUCUACAAUAUUGACAUUGAAUUAGUACACUCACCUCAGUUCUUCACAACUGACUGUUGCUCUCUGGAGCCAUUCUAGUUUGGAAAACAAGUAGCAAUGAUCACAGAUMAUUUGUUUUGCUUUUAAGCUGAUCUUUUGCUGAGGUGUGUAUGAUAUAUGAUUUAUGCUGUGUACAGUUAUAAUAUAACAGAAAUAGAUCAAUAAAAGUGCUUUGUUUUCUGAAAGUA
Molecule: long non-coding RNA, 1888 nt
Organism: Salvelinus sp. IW2-2015
Lineage: Eukaryota; Metazoa; Chordata; Actinopteri; Salmoniformes; Salmonidae
Source: RefSeq, a predicted model, not a curated record